This 441-nucleotide ribosomal RNA is filed under the name uncultured bacterium. Its description in RNAcentral is "partial 16S ribosomal RNA". It matches the Rfam family "Bacterial small subunit ribosomal RNA", at positions 338 to 795 of the family's 1533-position model. The record is from RNAcentral.
CCUACGGGAGACUGCAGUGGGGAAUAUUGCACAAUGGGGGAAACCCUGAUGCAGCGACGCCGCGUGAGUGAAGAAGUAUUUCGGUAUGUAAAGCUCUAUCAGCAGGGAAGAAAAUGACGGUACCUGACUAAGAAGCCCCGGCUAACUACGUGCCAGCAGCCGCGGUAAAACGUAGGGGGCAAGCGUUAUCCGGAUUGAAUGGGUGUUAAGGGAGCGUAGGUGGCAUGGUAAGCCAGAAGUGAAAACCCAGGGCUCAACUCUGUGGAUUGCUUUUGAAACUAUCAAGCUAGAGUGGUGGAGGGGUAAGCGGAAUUCCUAGUGUAGCGGUGAAAUGCGUAGAUAUUAGGAGGAACACCGGUGGCGAAGGCAGCUUACUGGACAGAAACUGACACUGAGGCUCGAAAGCGUGGGGAGCAAACAGGAUUAGAUACCCGGGUAGUC